GGGUCUUUUGGAGGUUUUAGCUUGAGGAUCCUCCUUCCUCGUUUUGGUGAAGUUGUCAGCGUGAAGCUUCUCUUCAUACUUGAUGUUCGUCUUUGCCAUGUUUAGGAACUUGUUCAGAGAGUAGGGUUUGUCUAACAGGUAGAUUUUUAAUGGUUCAUCUGUUCCUCGAACUUGAACUGCUUCUUUAUUGAAUCUCUAGAUGUAGUCUUAUAAAGGUUUGUUCUUCCCUUGCACGAUAUGUGCGGUGAAUUGAUGACAUAGCUUCUCCAAAGUGCCGAUGGAGUCUAUUCGAAGGUUUUUGUACUUAUGACUAAAAUUUAAGUCAAACUAUCAAUUCGAAUCAAAAUUUUGUCAAAAAUUGUUCCACUCAUAAUCAAACUCGU
This 383-nucleotide long non-coding RNA is filed under the name Medicago truncatula (barrel medic). RNAcentral describes it as "long non-coding RNA (MTRU_LNC008446)". The record is from RNAcentral. Lineage: Eukaryota; Viridiplantae; Streptophyta; Magnoliopsida; Fabales; Fabaceae.